Molecule: ribosomal RNA, 253 nt
Filed under: uncultured bacterium
Lineage: Bacteria
Description: partial 16S ribosomal RNA
Rfam family: Bacterial small subunit ribosomal RNA
Source: RNAcentral
UACGUAGGGUCCGAGCGUUGUUCGGAAUUACUGGGCGUAAAGGGCGCGUAGGCGGCCGGUUAAGUCGAACGUGAAAUCCCCGGGCUCAACCCGGGAACUGCGUCCGAUACUGGCAGGCUUGAAUCCGGGAGAGGGAUGCGGAAUUCCAGGUGUAGCGGUGAAAUGCGUAGAUAUCUGGAGGAACACCGGUGGCGAAGGCGGCAUCCUGGACCGGCAUUGACGCUGAGGCGCGAAAGCCAGGGGAGCAAACGGG